RNAcentral lists this ribosomal RNA (468 nucleotides) under uncultured bacterium. Its description in RNAcentral is "partial 16S ribosomal RNA". It matches the Rfam family "Bacterial small subunit ribosomal RNA", at positions 28 to 507 of the family's 1533-position model. The record is from RNAcentral.
GACGAACGCUGGCGGCGUGCUUAACACAUGCAAGUCGAACGGAAAGGCCCUGCUUUUGUGGGGUGCUCGAGUGGCGAACGGGUGAGUAACACGUGAGUAACCUGCCCUUGACUUUGGGAUAACUUCAGGAAACUGGGGCUAAUACCGGAUAGGAGCUCCUGCUGCAUGGUGGGGGUUGGAAAGUUUCGGCGGUUGGGGAUGGACUCGCGGCUUAUCAGCUUGUUGGUGGGGUAGUGGCUUACCAAGGCUUUGACGGGUAGCCGGCCUGAGAGGGUGACCGGCAACAUUGGGACUGAGAUACGGCCCAGACUCCUACGGGAGGCAGCAGUGGGGAAUAUUGCACAAUGGGCGGAAGCCUGAUGCAGCAACGCCGCGUGCGGGAUGACGGCCUUCGGGUUGUAAACCGCUUUCGCCUGUGACGAAGCGUGAGCGACGGUAAUGGGUAAAGAAGCACCGGCUAACUACGUG